Molecule: ribosomal RNA, 279 nt
Filed under: uncultured Desulfocapsa sp.
Lineage: Bacteria; Pseudomonadati; Thermodesulfobacteriota; Desulfobulbia; Desulfobulbales; Desulfocapsaceae
Description: partial 16S ribosomal RNA
Rfam family: Bacterial small subunit ribosomal RNA
Source: RNAcentral
CCCCUAUCUUUAGUUGCCAUCAUUGGAGUUGGGCACUCUAAAGAGACUGCCGGUGUCAAACCGGAGGAAGUGGGGAUGACGUCAAGUCCUCAUGGCCUUUAUGACCAGGGCUACACACGUACUACAAUGGCCGGUACAAAGGGCAGCGACACAGCGAUGUGAAGCGAAUCCCGAAAAGCCGGUCUCAGUCCGGAUUGGAGUCUGCAACUCGACUCCAUGAAGUUGGAAUCGCUAGUAAUCGCGGAUCAGCACGCCGCGGUGAAUACGUUCCCGGGCCUU